Acipenser ruthenus (sterlet) is the source of this 438-nucleotide long non-coding RNA. RefSeq lists it as uncharacterized. The transcript has 3 exons. NCBI's taxonomy places the organism in Eukaryota, Metazoa, Chordata, Actinopteri, Acipenseriformes, Acipenseridae. The record is from RefSeq and is a predicted model, not a curated record.
AUUUGGUGUUGGCUGAUCAGGCAUUGAUUGCAGGACCUAUCCCUACCUCUGCUGAAUUACAUUGCUUAGCUUCAACAAAGAAGAAACCUGCAGAUAUACAGGACGCCAGCACUAAUACUGAACCUGCUCCUUCUCCUCCAUUGUGUACUGACAGUAGAACAUCUGCAGACAUUCAAGCUUUGCAGACUUGCCCUCCAGUUUCAGCUCGUCAAAUACCGUCAAGUUUUGCCUCCAGAUGUUUUCCUAAAUCUCAGAUUUCCAAAGGAAUCCUCACAAGAACCCCUACCCACAAGCUCUUCAGAUCCUGCCAUCGUGCAGGUGGGUUGAAGUAUUGUCUGAAGAAAUGUCACUGUUUUAUCUAAAAGAUGUCUUUGCGAUUGGUUUUAAAUCCUGGAGUUCAAUAUCUUCAAAAAGUUCACUUUGCAAAGGGAAUAAAGA